Molecule: RNA transcript, 2749 nt
Organism: Malania oleifera
Lineage: Eukaryota; Viridiplantae; Streptophyta; Magnoliopsida; Santalales; Ximeniaceae
Gene name: common plant regulatory factor 1
Exons: 14
Source: RefSeq, a predicted model, not a curated record
ACGUGUUUCCUGACGUGGACGGUGCCUUGGCGCUCCCCCCACCCUCCUCUCUCUCUGCAAAAGCCGAGCUUUCCCUCCGUUCCCAGAGCGAGAAAAUUGAGAGAAAGAGAAAGAGAAUGUCGAGGUUGGGAAGCUAGGUUCGAGAUAGCUGAGGAUUGAAGCUCUUGAUUUCGUCCGUGUUUUUUUUUUUUUUUAACCUUGAUUUUUCGAGCGGAGGAGAGAUUUCUCGGGGGCGUGCUAUGAUAGGAGAGUUGCAGAGGAGAAAAUAGGGACAAGCGAUUUUUCUUGCACCGUCUCUCAAUCAAUUGAGAGCUUCUUGUUUGGUGCUUAAAGAUGGGAAACAGUGAAGAAGUGAAGCCUUCUAAUUCCGAGAAAUUAUCUUCACCUGCACCGGAUCAGACAAAUGUUCAUGUGUAUCCUGAUUGGACCGCCAUGCAGGCAUAUUAUGGCGCCAGAGUUGCUCUACCACCAUACUAUAAUUCAUCUGUGGCAUCAGGUCAUGCUCCUCACCCUUAUGUGUGGGGUCCUCCACAGCCAAUGAUGCCAUCUUAUGGGGCACCCUACGCAGCAUUGUACUCGCACGGCAUCUAUCCACAUCCUGCAGUUCCUCUUGUUGCAACCACUUCGAACAUCGAAACACCUGGGAAAUCAUCAGCAAAUACAGACAGAGGUUUAAUGAAGAAGUUGAAAGGGUUUGAUGGGCUGGCAAUGUCAAUUGGCAAUGGUAGUAGCCAUAGUGCUGAUGGUGGCGCUGACCAUAGGGUGUCACAGAGUGUGAACAGUGGAGAGACUGAAGGUUCCAGUGAUGGAAGCGAUGGGAAUACAGCAAGGGCUGGUGAGGCUGGAAGGAAAAGAAGCCGGGAGGGUACUCCAACAAUUGCAGGUGGAGAAGGAAAAGCUGAAACACAGACCAGUCUGGUGCCUGCUGGGGAGACAAAUGCAGCUACCGAUAAGGUUUUGGGUAUCAGUGUUGCUUCUGCUAGUGCCACUGGUAAACUUGGAGGAACUGUACUUUCUCCUAGUAUGACCACAACAUUGGAGCUUAGGAACCCUGUAAGCGUGAAUGCAAAAACAAGUCCAACUAGUCUGCCACAAGGACCACAACUUUGUGCAGUGUUUCCUUCUGAAGCCUUGUUACAAAAUGAACGAGAGCUGAAAAGGGAGAGGAGGAAACAAUCCAAUCGAGAAUCUGCUCGACGGUCACGGUUGAGGAAGCAGGCGGAGACCGAGGAACUUGCAAUGAAAGUUGAAGCAUUGGGUGCUGAAAAUGUUGUGCUUAAAUCAGAAAUAAAUAGGUUAACACAGAGUUCUGAGAAAUUGAGGCUUGAAAAUGCUACAUUAAUGGAAAAACUGAAAAAUGUACAAAUAGGAGGAACAGAAGGAAUGCUUUUUAGCAAGGCUGACAAUAAUAGAGCACCACCUAUCAGCACAGAAAACCUAUUGUCAAGAGUAAGCAAUUCAGGCUGUGUUGAUAGAAACCCCGAGCAUGAGGGUGAUGCAUAUGAGAAAAGCUCAAACUCUGGGGCUAAGCUCCGCCAACUUUUGGAUGCAAAUCCUAGGGCUAAUGCUGUUGUAGCUGGCUGAUGAAGGAAGGUGCAAUACUUUUGCCUCCUGUUAUAUUAAAAUUUAAGGUGAAUAGGAUGGGGUAUUCAUGCAAAGUACUAAUUUUAACAAGUUCUGAGUUAGCUCUCUCAUGGCGGAACUGAUGUAUUUUAUCAAAUAUCAGAUUGCUGUGAUCGCCAGAUAAAGUAGUGUACAUUGAAGAGAAUUAGGCAACAGAGUAGGGAAGGAACUACUUGACCAGCAGAGGAGCUGAUCGACACUGUCAUGUGCGUGCAAUGCUGGAUUUUAAGAAAAAAAUAAUUUUUAUUUUAGAAGGAAAAUUUGCUAUUGAAGAUGAAAAUAAUUUUAAAGAAAUUUGGAGUUUAAAAAAAAUAGAUGUGAUUUGUUAAGUUGGUUUGUGAAUCAUAGAAAAUGCAUUUGGGAGGUCUAUUGUGCGUGCUGGAGGUGAUAUUGAUGAAUCAAUAUGAAUCAAUACCUUCAUCGUCAGUUGUUUGGUUAACUUAGAGAAGUGGAGAAUUUUAAAAAAAAAUAAAAGAUGCAAAUAAAUAAAUAGAGACGAGGUAGAAAUUUAUAUGGUUUCGCUAUGUCUAUUUUAUGGGUGGAUGGAAUCAAAAUUUUAUUAUCAUGCGAGAAAGUAUAAUAUGAUAUGGAAUCAGCCGAUAUAUAUCUCUCAUUUUUUUUUGUUUUAAUAUACUCUACUUAUUUCAAGAAUGCAAGUGAGUAUUUAAGCAUGUAAUAUUUAUACAAGCAUGCAAAGAUAUGUUUAACAAAUGUGAGGGGUAGGAUGUCCUUUUAUAGGGAAAUAUGGAUACCAUAGGAUGGAAAAUCAAAGUGGUUGAAGAUGGGAUGACAUCCAUAUUUCUCAUAACCCAUUAUACACUCCCUUCGAUGUCACUCAUAUAUUAAUUAUUUAUGUUAAUAUCUUUAAAGUGUCUCAUUCUAAUGAGAUGAAUCAAUUUCUUGAAUGUUGUAACAGGUAAAGUUUUGGUGAACAAAUUUGUUAGAUUAUCCCUUGAUCGAAUCUGCUGAACAUUUAUAUCAUUAUUUUUUUGGAGUUCAUAUGUAUAGAAGAAUUUUGAAAAGAUAUGUUUUGUUCUGUCACUAUUUAUGUAUCAUCUUCUUAGUUGAGCUAAACAUGCAGUGUUGUCUUCAUAUCAAAUUGUUGGAAUAUUCUUGAUUGAUUGAA